UGAACAACGAACCCUUAAUAGCGGCUGCACCAUUAGGAUGUCCUGAUCCAACAUCGAGGUCCGUAAACCCUUUCGUCGAUAUGGACUCUGGGAAAGGAUUGCGCUGUUAUCCCUAGGGUAACUUGGUUCGUUGAUCAGGCUUGUAUGCUGGUCAUUGUUCGUCAGGUG
This 168-nucleotide ribosomal RNA is filed under the name Amia calva (bowfin). RNAcentral describes it as "partial ribosomal RNA". Lineage: Eukaryota; Metazoa; Chordata; Actinopteri; Amiiformes; Amiidae. The record is from RNAcentral.